UCAGUAAUUCCUUAUUGUUUAUUCUCCUCUUACAAAAAGACACUUGGGACAAAUAAAUACAAAAUGGCAUAUAUCAUAUUUAGCAAUGGGCAAAUACACAUUUUCUUGGUAUUCUCCACAAGAAUAAACUAAUAAAAUUUUCAGAGGCAUACUCUUCUACCCAUCUCUUACCCUCUAAAAAAAAAAAAGGCAAUUAUUUUAAUUCCCUGUAAUUUUUAACAAUGAAUUCUCAAAAUAAGUAAUCUAGGACUAUUCAGGGACCAAGACAUCUGAAUCAACAAGUUAAAAAAAAAAUGUCUGUAUACACACACACACACACACACACACACACACACACACGAUGUUGCCCAGAAGCUCCAAUUAAUGAAGAGUCUUAAAAGUUUUUCAUUUCAUAUAGUUUGCAUGAAUAGAGCCUGUUCUAUUCUAAUCUCAAUGGCAAAUAAUAUAAAACAGAAAGCUGAACACAACAUGUGUGUGUGUGUGUGUGUGUGUGUCUACUUUUCUGUCCUAAGAGAAAACAUUAAAUACAGGUAUAUUUAAUAUACAGUGAACAUACCAUGUGUUUUCUUAAAGCCAACAAAAUCCUGAUUUCCUAUAGCUUGGAGGUGAUACAGAAGGCAGAAGACAAAUAUCAAAUUUAGCUAAUAAAAUAUACCCUGCCUAUUGGCUCCAGCAAUACACUAUAGAGUUUGAGCAAUGACGGAUACCCAAGUGUAUAUGUUUUGUUAAAAUUUAUCUUCAGGCUAAUACCUGAAGAGGUUGGCUAAUACUUUAAAUCAAAUAUUCUUACUUAAUGAUUUAUCCAUCAAAUGGAAAUAUGUACAACAUAUUUCAAAUCAGAAAAGGGGUGAAUUUUCCCCCUGCCCUUCAAAAAAAUAUUUUUAAAAAUCCACUUGAAAUAAUUUCUUAUUUGAUGCUUUUUAAUCACUUUCCACUUUAUGACAACCAUUUUUCUAGAAAGGCAGACAAGAAUAUAAAAUGACUAAGGGGUCACUAUGAAAACAAUCAAAUGGAUUUGAAAUUUACUUCUGUGUAUUUUCUGUACUCCCUAAGUCUUGUGCUAACAUCACUACUGCUGAGGUCCCACUUU
RNAcentral lists this long non-coding RNA (1090 nucleotides) under Homo sapiens (human). Its description in RNAcentral is "HSALNT0017112". The record is from RNAcentral. Lineage: Eukaryota; Metazoa; Chordata; Mammalia; Primates; Hominidae.